UACGUAGGGGGCGAGCGUUAUCCGGAAUUACUGGGCGUAAAGCGCACGCAGCGGUUCGCCAAGUUUUGGAGUGACAGUUGUCGGCUCAACCGACAAAGGACUUCAAAAACUGGUGAACUUGAGGACGAGAGAGGAACAUGGAACUCCAGGUGUAGUAGUGAAAUGCGUAGAUAUCUGGAAGAACACCAGUGGCGAAGGCGGCUACCUGGACCAGCACUGACACUGAGGCACGAAAGCGUGGGGGAGCAAACAGG
This 254-nucleotide ribosomal RNA is filed under the name uncultured bacterium. RNAcentral's name for it is "partial 16S ribosomal RNA". It matches the Rfam family "Bacterial small subunit ribosomal RNA", at positions 524 to 776 of the family's 1533-position model. The record is from RNAcentral.